Molecule: ribosomal RNA, 478 nt
Filed under: uncultured bacterium
Lineage: Bacteria
Description: partial 16S ribosomal RNA
Rfam family: Bacterial small subunit ribosomal RNA
Source: RNAcentral
GACGAACGCUGGCGGCGUGCUUAACACAUGCAAGUCGAACGGUAAGGCCCUUCGGGGUACACGAGUGGCGAACGGGUGAGUAACACGUGGGUGAUCUGCCCUGCACUUCGGGAUAAGCCUGGGAAACUGGGUCUAAUACCGGAUAGGACCCUGGGAUGCAUGUCCUGGGGUGGAAAGCUUUUGCGGUGUGGGAUGGGCCCGCGGCCUAUCAGCUUGUUGGUGGGGUGAUGGCCUACCAAGGCGACGACGGGUAGCCGGCCGGAGAGGGUGACCGGCCACACUGGGACUGAGAUACGGCCCAGACUCCUACGGGGGGCAGCAGUGGGGAAUAUUGCACAAUGGGCGCAAGCCUGAUGCAGCGACGCCGCGUGAGGGAUGACGGCCUUCGGGUUGUAAACCUCUUUCAGCACCGACGAAGCGCAAGUGACGGUAGGUGCAGAAGAAGGACCGGCCAACUACGUGCCAGCAGCCGCAGUAA